GAAAAAGCAAAGCCAAACAGAGCAGGGGAAAAAAUUCCUCUCCAGCUCAAAUCCACCCCAUUCGUGCUCAAAAGACAGUCACACUCUCUCUUUCAAUCUUUCCCUGUUUAUUCUCCGCCGUCCACCGUCACUUCCGCUUCAGCAGAUUCCCACAUUUCAUCUUUUCCCGAUCUCCCUCAAAGCUCAUUUCUUUUCUUUCCUUUCUCAACCUAAGAAUCUCUCUUUCUCUUUACUUCUUUUCUCUCUUGUAGAUUCUUUUGUUUCCCUCUUAAUAAUUCCUCCCUUUUUAAUCAAACAUGUCCCUACUGCGUUGUUCCCUCCCUCUUGUUCUUCUUCUCUCUAACCACUUUUAUUCAUUCUCUUCAUUUCUGUCAUUUUCGUUUCCUUGGGUUUCCUUUGAUUUCAUCAUAUUU
RNAcentral lists this unclassified non-coding RNA (413 nucleotides) under Hevea brasiliensis (rubber tree). The record is from RNAcentral. Lineage: Eukaryota; Viridiplantae; Streptophyta; Magnoliopsida; Malpighiales; Euphorbiaceae.